RNA transcript from Portunus trituberculatus (swimming crab), 1043 nucleotides. RefSeq lists it as uncharacterized. The record is from RefSeq and is a predicted model, not a curated record. NCBI's taxonomy places the organism in Eukaryota, Metazoa, Arthropoda, Malacostraca, Decapoda, Portunidae. The transcript is spliced from 3 exons.
GUCUCAGUCCUACCCGAAGAUCGGUCUAUGAGCUCUGAGCUCGCUCCGUAAUGGGGAAGACUGGCUGGGUGACCAGCAGACGACCAAGGUGAAUUACACAAACACACAAUUAUACUUGAGGCUCGCGCAAAUUACCAAUUACGAGUACUACAUCCGUUUUAAUAGACUUUAGACUGUCUGCAUGGAGGAGCGACACAGCGUCACAAUUGACAACAAACAUGAAGCUUCUCUACCAAAAGGUAAGCUUGAGGACAUCCAGCUGUAACGGCUUACAGGGCAGGAGAACAGCGGGAUCAUCCUCACCGCCCAGUUGUGGUUUGGUUUGCGGAAUUCUCCGACUAAGAAGCUGUAAGAAGAAACGCUGCAGAAAUGCGGAAAAGAUUUGCGCCCAGCCUGGCAAGCAAUGCGCAAAGAACACUUCUGCUUAAGCAAACUAAGAGCAGGCACAGGCAAUAUCGCUUACUUUAAUCACAUGAAAUUAGCUAUUAAAGAGAGAAAUGUGGUAUAGCGAUGGUGGUGCUGCGUCGCUGAGCCCGCUGGUAAUGAAGCUUCGGGCGCCGCCUGUUCGGUUCCCCCAAGUGAUGCUGGUGGUGGCGCUGCUGCUGGACACUGUGGUGGUUACGUCUGACGAUGCAGGUGCUUCGUCUCUCUUGGACUCCACCGGUCCUGGCGUUCCUAAGGGCGUUGUGGACGGGAGACGCGCCCAGAGGUGUAGCUGCGGUGUGGUGUGAUGUGAUGUGGUGUGGUAUGGUGUGGUGUGGUGUGGUGUGGUGUGGCGGUGCGGCGCGGUCCGGAGACAUCACCAGGGGAAUGACAAGAAUGGAUGGGGCCCGAGGAGUCAUCAGGGGCUCAGAUACGGAUCCUGGUCGUGGUCACAACUUAUUCUAAAGGAGGACAAGCACUCGAGGUCAAGAAACAUCGCCAUCCAUCUGUGGAGCCAGACGUGACCACUGCAGUAUUGAUUGUUCCAGCUGGUACAGGGACUUCACAUGCAGCGCCGUCGUGCAUGCGCUUCAGGCUACUCAGGGAAAGGAAGGGAAGGG